UUCAGGUUGGGGCUACAUUCCAGAAAGGAGGUGAUUCCACUUGGAUCCCAAGAAACCAAAGAGGCUGCUAUUGGCACACCCUCAGCAUACAGGAGUUGUGUGUAGAAGCAGGAGUCAGCAUGAGGGGACAAAGAUGUGGCUUUCAGGGGACGUUUUUACUUCUCUGUUUAGCAGCGAAGUCAGCGGGCCGGCAGAGGUCGUGGGUAAAGAGCACUGGAGCUGUUGACUGCAUUUGUUCCCUGCCAAUCAGUGGAGCCUGCUGUAGUGCAGAAUGAGAUAAUCACAGCUGGAGAGGUGAUCUGAAUGCCCAGUAUACAGAUGUUCACUUUAUUACUUAGAAAUUAGUUGUUUAAAUCUCUUCAAAGUAUUACGAGUAUAUUGCUUUGGCUCACAAAGUGUUUAAUUAUAAAGAUAAAGAAGUUAUAACAAAGUGCUGUGGUGUCAGUCCUGUUUGUAGGUUCUUAAGGAUUUACUUAUUAAAACUUCUGUGAUUUUACAUUCCUAAGGACUUACUCUAUCAUUUUAAUAUUAUCUUCACAAAAGUCAGAUAAAUUUCUGUCUUCAGUCAUGCUGCUGUAACAGAAUACCACCGACUGGGUAGUUUAUAAAGAAUAGAUGUAUAUUUUCUCACAGUUCUGGAGGCUGGGAAGUCCAAGAUCAAGGUGCUGGCAUUUGUGGUCUGCUGAGGGCUUUCCUGCUGCGUCCUCACAUGGCAGAUGGCAGACGGCAGAUGGCAGAAAGCAGAGGGCCAAGUGAGAGAGGAAGAGCAAGCUAACCCAGGAACGCUGCAAGAAGCCUCUUCUGUAAGGGCCUUAAUCCCCUUAAUGAGCACAGAGCCCUCAUGGCCUCGUGUCUCUCAGAGGCCCCACCUCUCAAUACCAUCACGUUGGAAAGACUGAAUUUCGGAGGGAACGCAUUCCCAUCAUAGCAUUCUCCUGUUCUGCCUUAAUUAUAGAACGUAUUCAAUGGCUUCAGGAUGAUUCACUACUGCCUUGUAAAUAAGGGCUCUCCCUAGGGAAGCCCUGUCAAGUGACCUUAUUGUGUGAAGUCACUUUACACUUUGCCCCCAUGUGCUGGCCCCACCCACAUUUCCCUCCUUUUCCUGCUGCAGUCGUCCCGGAACAUGUUCUCCUUUAAAGCCACACUGGGCACCAUCAUUAAUUAGGAGAUGGGUAUUUUCCUCCACUUCUUCAUUUCCUAGAAGACUCGUCAUGCCUCCGCGUGUUUCAUGCCUGUCUGUCCUCUAAGCCCUCCCCAGGUACCACCUCCUCCAAAUGUCUUCCUCAGCAGAUUCCUUCCUCCUCUCUGUUCCUGUAACAACUGAUUGGGGCUUGAUGGAACUUUGCCUUGUGUUAGAAUCGAAGCAUUUGGUAUCAGUGACAUCACUUGCUCCAGAAUCUGCUCUUCGGCAGCUUAAUCUCUGCUAUGGAUCCCCGUGGCUGUGCUGGCGGUCUUCGAGAACAUUCAUGUCAAUGAGCCGCUGUACAUCCUGGUCUUCGGAGGGUCCCUGCUGGAUGAUGCAGUGACAGUGGACAGGUGGACGUCGCUACUGACUUAUUCCAGAUCUCCCAAGGCACGACAAUUUAGCUGACUUGGUCAGAGCAGAAUUUUUUUGUCAUCACAUGGCAUGACUCCACAAUACGACCUUGUAAGCACUUCUGAGAGUCGGUGGUCCCAGCAGCCUUCGUGCCCCUCCCUGGCAUUGCUGCAGGCCCAGCCAAGCCAUUUACACUGUUCCCACUAUGAUGAGACCUGCACCCUCCGCCAGAAUGGCACCAUCAACCUCUACUGGGAGUUCCAGUGCCCACUCGAUGACUUUGAGCUGGUCCUGUGGUCCUUGGGCUCUCGGGAGAAGAGCUACCUGCUGUGCCCCUACUGCUACAACCACCCGGCCUUUCGAGACAUG
Galeopterus variegatus (Sunda flying lemur) is the source of this 1906-nucleotide long non-coding RNA. RefSeq lists it as uncharacterized. NCBI's taxonomy places the organism in Eukaryota, Metazoa, Chordata, Mammalia, Dermoptera, Cynocephalidae. The transcript is spliced from 4 exons. The record is from RefSeq and is a predicted model, not a curated record.